AUUGAACGCUGGCGGCAUGCUUUACACAUGCAAGUCGAACGGUAACAGGUUAAGCUGACGAGUGGCGAACGGGUGAGUAAUGCAUCGGAACGUGCCCGGUCGUGGGGGAUGACGCAGCGAAAGCUGCGCUAAUACCGCAUACGGUCCGAGGAUGAAAGCGGGGGACCGUAAGGCCUCGCGCGAUCGGACCGGCCGAUGUCAGAUUAGGUAGUUGGUGAGGUAAAGGCUCACAAAGCCAACGAUCUGUAGCUGGUCUGAGAGGACGACCAGCCACACUGGGACUGAGACACGGCCCAGACUCCUACGGGAGGCAGCAGUGGGGAAUUUUGGACAAUGGGCGAAAGCCUGAUCCAGCAAUGCCGCGUGCAGGAAGAAGGCCUUCGGGUUGUAAACUGCUUUUGUACGGAGCGAAAAGGCUCUCUCUAAUACAGGGGGCUCAUGACGGUACCGUAAGAAUAAGCACCGGCUAACUACGUGCCAGCCGCCGCUGUAA
RNAcentral lists this ribosomal RNA (493 nucleotides) under uncultured bacterium. Its description in RNAcentral is "partial 16S ribosomal RNA". It matches the Rfam family "Bacterial small subunit ribosomal RNA", at positions 30 to 523 of the family's 1533-position model. The record is from RNAcentral.